RNAcentral lists this ribosomal RNA (433 nucleotides) under uncultured bacterium. RNAcentral's name for it is "partial 16S ribosomal RNA". It matches the Rfam family "Bacterial small subunit ribosomal RNA", at positions 29 to 507 of the family's 1533-position model. The record is from RNAcentral.
AACGAACGCUGGCGGCAUGCCUAACACAUGCAAGUCGAACGAGACCUUCGGGUCUACUUGCGCACGGGUGCGUAACGCGUGGGACCCUGCCCUUAGGUUCGGAAUAACUCUCCGACAGGGGUGCUAAUACCGGAUAACGUCUUCUGACCCAAGAUUCAUCGCCUUUGGAUGGGCCGGAGUUGGUUUAGCUGGUUGGUAGGGUAAAAGCCUACCAAGGCGACGAUCCAUAGCUGGUCUGAGAGGAUGGUCAGCCACACUGGGACUGUGACACGGCCCAGACUCUUACGGGAGGCAGCAGUGGGGAAUAUAGGACAAUGGGCGAAAGGCUGAAGCAGCAAUGCCGCGUGAGUGAUGAAGGCCUGAGGGUUGUAAAGCUCUUUUACCCGGGAUGAUAAUGACAGUACCGGGAGAAUAAGCUCCGGCUAACUCCGUG